RNAcentral lists this ribosomal RNA (468 nucleotides) under uncultured bacterium. RNAcentral's name for it is "partial 16S ribosomal RNA". It matches the Rfam family "Bacterial small subunit ribosomal RNA", at positions 28 to 507 of the family's 1533-position model. The record is from RNAcentral.
GACGAUCGCUGGCGGCGUGCUUAACACAUGCAAGUCGAACGGAAAGGCCCUGCUUUUGUGGGGUGCUCGAGUGGCGAACGGGCGAGUAACACGUGAGUAACCUGCCCUUGACUUUGGGAUAACUUCAGGAAACUGGGGCUAAUACCGGAUAGGAGCUCCUGCUGCAUGGUGGGGGUUGGAAAGUUUCGGCGGUUGGGGAUGGACUCGCGGCUUAUCAGCUUGUUGGUGGGGUAGUGGCUUACCAAGGCUUUGACGGGUAGCCGGCCUGAGAGGGUGACCGGCCACAUUGGGACUGAGAUACGGCCCAGACUCCUACGGGAGGCAGCAGUGGGGAAUAUUGCACAAUGGGCGGAAGCCUGAUGCAGCAACGCCGCGUGCGGGAUGACGGCCUUCGGGUUGUAAACCGCUUUCGCCUGUGACGAAGCGUGAGUGACGGUAAUGGGUAAAGAAGCACCGGCUAACUACGUG